GGGUUGUGAGGUUAAGCGACUAAGCGUACACGGUGGAUGCCCUGGCAGUCAGAGGCGAUGAAGGGCGUGCUAAUCUGCGAUAAGCGCCGGUAAGGUGAUAUGAACCGUUAUAACCGGCGAUACCCGAAUGGGGAAACCCAGUGUGAUUCGUCACACUAUCAUUAACUGAAUCCAUAGGUUAAUGAGGCGAACCGGGGGAACUGAAACAUCUAAGUACCCCGAGGAAAAGAAAUCAACCGAGAUUCCCCAGUAGCGGCGAGCGAACGGGGAGGAGCCCAGAGCCUGAAUCAGCAUGUGUGUUAGUGGAAGCGUCUGGAAAGGCGCGCGAUACAGGGUGACAGCCCCGUACACAAAAGCGCAUGUGCUGUGAGCUCGAUGAGUAGGGCGGGACACGUGGUAUCCUGUCUGAAUAUGGGGGGACCAUCCUCCAAGGCUAAAUACUCCUGACUGACCGAUAGUGAACCAGUACCGUGAGGGAAAGGCGAAAAGAACCCCGGCGAGGGGAGUGAAAAAGAACCUGAAACCGUGUACGUACAAGCAGUGGGAGCACCCUUCGGGGUGUGACUGCGUACCUUUGUAUAAUGGGUCAGCGACUUAUAUUCUGUAGCAAGGUUAACCGUAUAGGGGAGCCGCAGGAAACCGAGUCUUAAUUGGGCGUUAAGUUGCAGGGUAUAGACCCGAAACCCGGUGAUCUAGCCAUGGGCAGGUUGAAGGUUGGGUAACACUAACUGGAGGACCGAACCGACUAAUGUUGAAAAAUUAGCGGAUGACCUGUGGCUGGGGGUGAAAGGCCAAUCAAACCGGGAGAUAGCUGGUUCUCCCCGAAAGCUAUUUAGGUAGCGCCUCGUGAAUUCAUCUCCGGGGUAGAGCACUGUUUCGGCUAGGGGGCCAUCCCGGCUUACCAACCCGAUGCAAACUGCGAAUACCGGAGAAUGUUAUCACGGGAGACACACGGCGGGUGCUAACGUCCGUCGUGAAGAGGGAAACAACCCAGACCGCCAGCUAAGGUCCCAAAGUCAUGGUUAAGUGGGAAACGAUGUGGGAAGGCCCAGACAGCCGGAUGUUGGCUUAGAAGCAGCCAUCAUUUAAAGAAAGCGUAAUAGCUCACUGGUCGAGUCGGCCUGCGCGGAAGAUGUAACGGGGCUAAACCAUGCACCGAAGCUGCGGCAGCGACACUGUGUGUUGUUGGGUAGGGGAGCGUUCUGUAAGCCUGCGAAGGUGGCCUGUGAGGGUUGCUGGAGGUAUCAGAAGUGCGAAUGCUGACAUAAGUAACGAUAAAGCGGGUGAAAAGCCCGCUCGCCGGAAGACCAAGGGUUCCUGUCCAACGUUAAUCGGGGCAGGGUGAGUCGACCCCUAAGGCGAGGCCGAAAGGCGUAGUCGAUGGGAAACGGGUUAAUAUUCCCGUACUUGGUGUUACUGCGAAGGGGGACGGAGAAGGCUAUGUUGGCCGGGCGACGGUUGUCCCGGUUUAAGCGUGUAGGUGUGUGUUCCAGGUAAAUCCGGUUCACUUUAACACUGAGGCGUGACGACGAGGCACUACGGUGCUGAAGCAACAAAUGCCCUGCUUCCGGAAAAGCCUCUAAGCAUCAGGUAACAUCAAAUCGUACCCCAAACCGACACAGGUGGUCAGGUAGAGAAUACCAAGGCGCUUGAGAGAACUCGGGUGAAGGAACUAGGCAAAAUGGUGCCGUAACUUCGGGAGAAGGCACGCUGACACGUAGGUGAAGUGAUUUACUCAUGGAGCUGAAGUCAGUCGAAGAUACCAGCUGGCUGCAACUGUUUAUUAAAAACACAGCACUGUGCAAACACGAAAGUGGACGUAUACGGUGUGACGCCUGCCCGGUGCCGGAAGGUUAAUUGAUGGGGUCAGCGCAAGCGAAGCUCCUGAUCGAAGCCCCGGUAAACGGCGGCCGUAACUAUAACGGUCCUAAGGUAGCGAAAUUCCUUGUCGGGUAAGUUCCGACCUGCACGAAUGGCGUAAUGAUGGCCGGCUGUCUCCACCCGAGACUCAGUGAAAUUGAACUCGCUGUGAAGAUGCAGUGUACCCGCGGCAAGACGGAAAGACCCCGUGAACCUUUACUAUAGCUUGACACUGAACAUUGAGCCUUGAUGUGUAGGAUAGGUGGGAGGCUUUGAAGCGUGGACGCCAGUCUGCGUGGAGCCGACCUUGAAAUACCACCCUUUAAUGUUUGAUGUUCUAACGUGGACCCGUAAUCCGGGUUGCGGACAGUGUCUGGUGGGUAGUUUGACUGGGGCGGUCUCCUCCUAAAGAGUAACGGAGGAGCACGAAGGUUGGCUAAUCCUGGUCGGACAUCAGGAGGUUAGUGCAAUGGCAUAAGCCAGCUUGACUGCGAGCGUGACGGCGCGAGCAGGUGCGAAAGCAGGUCAUAGUGAUCCGGUGGUUCUGAAUGGAAGGGCCAUCGCUCAACGGAUAAAAGGUACUCCGGGGAUAACAGGCUGAUACCGCCCAAGAGUUCAUAUCGACGGCGGUGUUUGGCACCUCGAUGUCGGCUCAUCACAUCCCGGGGCUGAAGUAGGUCCCAAGGGUAUGGCUGUUCGCCAUUUAAAGUGGUACGCGAGCUGGGUUUAGAACGUCGUGAGACAGUUCGGUCCCUAUCUGCCGUGGGCGCUGGAGAACUGAGGGGGCUGCUCCUAGUACGAGAGGACCGGAGUGGACGCAUCACUGGUGUUCGGGUUGUCAUGCCAAUGGCACUGCCCGGUAGCUAAAUGCGGAAGAGAUAAGUGCUGAAAGCAUCUAAGCACGAAACUUGCCCCGAGAUGAGUUCUCCCUGAGACUUAAAGUCUCCUGAAGGAACGUUGAAGACGACGACGUUGAUAGGCCGGGUGUGUAAGCGCAGCGAUGCGUUGAGCUAACCGGUACUAAUGAACCGUGAGGCUUAACCUUACAACGCCGAAG
RNAcentral lists this ribosomal RNA (2917 nucleotides) under Salmonella enterica subsp. enterica serovar Adjame. RNAcentral's name for it is "23S ribosomal RNA". It matches the Rfam family "Bacterial large subunit ribosomal RNA". Lineage: Bacteria; Pseudomonadati; Pseudomonadota; Gammaproteobacteria; Enterobacterales; Enterobacteriaceae. The record is from RNAcentral.